CAUCUGAAACGCAUUUAGAUUUUACCUUUGAUGAAUUGUAUGAUGCGUUUAAUGAACUAAUGGAUGAAUAUAAGAAUAAAGAACUAAAACUAACUAAUCAAUCUCACCUCCAUAAGUAUGAUAAAUUAAUUAAGGACAAGGAUUUUAUCAUUAAAGAAAAUUUAGAACUUAAAACAAGCAACCAAAUGUUAAUUCAAAAAACUAAUUUCUUAAUUAAAGAUAACGAAAAACUAACCAAGAAAAUUUCAGAACUUAAAAACGGUAAACAAACUUUAAAAGAUAAUCUCACAAAAGACUUAAACA
This 303-nucleotide long non-coding RNA is filed under the name Phoenix dactylifera (date palm). Its description in RNAcentral is "long non-coding RNA (PDAC_LNC014702)". Lineage: Eukaryota; Viridiplantae; Streptophyta; Magnoliopsida; Arecales; Arecaceae. The record is from RNAcentral.